AGCAGCCGCGGUAAUUCCAGCUCCAAUAGCGUAUAUUAAAGUUGUUGCAGUUAAAAAGCUCGUAGUUGAAUUUCAGGCCUGGCUGGACGGUCCGCCUUUUGGGUGAGUACUGUCUGUGGUCGGGUCCUACCUUCUGGCGAAGCGUCAUGGCCUUAACCGGCCGUGGCGGGGAACCAGGACUUUUACUGUGAAAAAAUUAGAGUGUUCAAAGCAGGCAGUCGCUUGAAUACAUUAGCAUGGAAUAAUGGAAUAGGACAAUGGUUCUAUUUGUUGGUUUCUAGGACCGUUGUAAUGAUUAAUAGGGAUAGUUGGGGGCAUUAGUAUUCAAUUGUCAGAGGUGAAAUUCUUGGAUUUAUUGAAGACUAACUACUGCGAAAGCAUUUGCCAAGGAUGUUUUCAUUAAUCAAGAACGAAAGUUAGGGGAUCGAAGACGAUCAGAUACCGUCGUAGUCUUAACCAUAAACUAUGCCGACUAGGAAUCGGGCGAUGUUGACAAAAUGACGCGCUCGGCACCUCU
RNAcentral lists this ribosomal RNA (517 nucleotides) under uncultured Paraglomus. RNAcentral's name for it is "SSU rRNA". It matches the Rfam family "Eukaryotic small subunit ribosomal RNA", at positions 569 to 1090 of the family's 1831-position model. The record is from RNAcentral. Lineage: Eukaryota; Fungi; Glomeromycota; Glomeromycetes; Paraglomerales; Paraglomeraceae.